RNAcentral lists this ribosomal RNA (570 nucleotides) under uncultured bacterium. Its description in RNAcentral is "bacterial SSU rRNA". It matches the Rfam family "Bacterial small subunit ribosomal RNA", at positions 240 to 803 of the family's 1533-position model. The record is from RNAcentral.
AUCAGCUUGUUGGUGAGGUAAUGGCUCACCAAGGCUACGACGGGUAGCUGGUCUGAGAGGAUGAUCAGCCACACUGGGACUGAGAUACGGCCCAGACUCCUACGGGAGGCAGCAGUGGGGAAUUUUGCGCAAUGGGCGAAAGCCUGACGCAGCAACGCCGCGUGAGCGAAGAAGGCCUUCGGGUUGUAAAGCUCUGUCGGGGGGAAAGAAGGCACCUGGGUUAAUAGCCCAAGGGCUGACGGUACCCCCAAAGGAAGCCACGGCUAACUACGUGCCAGCAGCCGCGGUAAUACGUAGGUGGCAAGCGUUGUCCGGAAUCAUUGGGCGUAAAGAGCGCGUAGGUGGCUUGUCAGGUCUGGUGUGAAAUCCUGGGGCUCAACUCCAGAACUGCAUCGGAAACCGGCUUGCUAGAGUCUGGGAGAGGAGAGUGGAAUUCCUGGUGUAGCGGUGAAAUGCGUAGAUAUCAGGAGGAACACCGGUAGCGAAGGCGGCUCUCUGGAACAGUACUGACGCUGAGGCGCGAAAGCUAGGGGAGCGAACAGGAUUAGAUACCCUGGUAGUCCUAGCCGU